This 449-nucleotide ribosomal RNA is filed under the name uncultured bacterium. Its description in RNAcentral is "partial 16S ribosomal RNA". It matches the Rfam family "Bacterial small subunit ribosomal RNA", at positions 29 to 523 of the family's 1533-position model. The record is from RNAcentral.
AACGUACGCUGGCGGCAUGCCUAACACAUGCAAGUCGAACGAGAUCUUCGGGUCUAGUGGCGCACGGGUGCGUAACGCGUGGGAAUCUGCCCUUUGGUUCGGAAUAACAGUUGGAGACGACUGCUAAUACCAGAUGAUGACGAAAGUCCAAAGAUUUAUCGCCAGAGGAUGAGCCCGCGUAGGAUUAGCUAGUUGGUGUGGUAAAGGCGCACCAAGGCGACGAUCCUUAGCUGGUCUGAGAGGAUGAUCAGCCACACUGGGACUGAGACACGGCCCAGACUCCUACGGGAGGCAGCAGUGGGGAAUAUUGGACAAUGGGCGAAAGCCUGAUCCAGCAAUGCCGCGUGAGUGAUGAAGGCCUUAGGGUUGUAAAGCUCUUUUACCCGGGAUGAUAAUGACAGUACCGGGAGAAUAAGCUCCGGCUAACUCCGUGCCAGCCGCCGCCGCAG